Molecule: unclassified non-coding RNA, 59 nt
Filed under: Klebsiella pneumoniae subsp. pneumoniae BJ1-GA
Lineage: Bacteria; Pseudomonadati; Pseudomonadota; Gammaproteobacteria; Enterobacterales; Enterobacteriaceae
Description: ctRNA_pT181
Source: RNAcentral
UUGUUUUUCUCUACGCGCUGCCUGAAUAACGGAUCGUGGAGAAGUGCCUCAAUGGCGUU